Molecule: long non-coding RNA, 1797 nt
Organism: Cyprinus carpio carpio
Lineage: Eukaryota; Metazoa; Chordata; Actinopteri; Cypriniformes; Cyprinidae
Source: Ensembl
AACAUCCACCACUAGUGCAAUAGAAACAUCUACAACAACAGAGACUUCCACAAUCACAACUCCUGAUGAAACAUCCACCACUAGUGCACCAGAAACAUCUACAAGAACAGAGACUUCCACAAUCAUGACUCCUGCUGAAGCAUCCACCACUAGUUUAGCAGAAACAUCUACAAAAACACAGACUUUCACAAUCACGACACCUGAUGAAACAUCCACCACUAGUUUAGCAGAAACAUCUACAACAACAGAGACUUCCACAAUCACCACUCCUGAUGAAACAUCCACCACUAGUUUAUCAGAAACAUCUACAUCAACAGAGACUUACACAAUCAUGACUACUGAUGAAGCAUCCACCACUAGUGCACCAGAAACAUCAACAACAACAGAGACUUCCACAAUCAUGACUCCUGAUGAAACAUCCACCACUAGUUUAGCAGAAACAUCUACAAAAACACAGACUUUCACAAUCACGACACCUGAUGAAACAUCCACCACUAGUUUAGCAGAAACAUCUACAACAACAGAGACUUCCACAAUCACCACUCCUGAUGAAACAUCCACCACUAGUUUAUCAGAAACAUCUGCAACAUCAGAGACUUCCAUAAUCAUGACUCCUGAUGAAACAUCAACCACUAGUGCACCAGAAACAUCUACAACAACAGAGACUUCCACAAAGACGACUCCUGAUGAAACAUCCACCACAAUUGCAAUAGAAAUUUCUACAACAUCGGAGACUUCCACAAUCACGACUCCCGCUGAAACAUCCAUUACUAGUACACCGGAAACAUCUACAACAACAGAGACUUCCACAAUCACAACUCCUGAUGAAACAUCUAACACAAGUUUAGCAGAAACACCUACAACAACAGAGACUUCCACAAUCAUGACUACUGAUGAAGCAUCCACCACUAGUGCACCAGAAACAUCUACAAUGUCAGAGACUUCCACAAUCACGACACCUCAUGAAACAUCCACUACUAGUUUAGCAGAACCAUCUAUAACAACAGAGACUUCCAAAAUCACAACUCCUCAUGAAACAACCACCACUAGUGCACCAGAAACAUCUACAACAACAGAGACUUCCACAAUCAUGACUCCUGCUGAAACAUCAAUUACUAGUACACCAGAAACAUCUACAAAAAAACAGACUUUCACAAUCACAACACCUGAUGAAAUAUCCACCACUAGUUUAGCAGAAACAUCUACAACAACAGAGACUUCCACAACCAUGACUCCUGCUGAAACAUCCACCACUAGUGUAGCAGAAACAUCUAAAUCAACAGAGACUUCCACAAUCAUGACUACUGAUGCAGCAUCCACCACUAGUGCACCAGAAACAUCUACAAUGUCAGAGACUUCCACAAUCACGACACCUCAUGAAACAUUCAGCACUAGUGCACCAGAAACAUCUACAACAACAGAGACUUCAACAAAGACGACUCCUGAUGAAACAUUUACAACAAAAGAGACUUCCACAAUCAUGACUCCUGCUGAAGCAUCAACCACUAUUGCAGCAGAACCAUCAACAACAAAAGAGACUUCCACAAUCAUGACUCCAGAUAAAACAUCCACCACUAUUGGACCAGAAACAUCUAGAACAACAGAGACUUCCACAAUCACGACUCCUGCUGAAACAUCUACCACAAGUUUAGCAGAAACACCUACAACAACAGAGACUUCCACAAUCACAACUCCUGAUGAAACAUCCACCACUAGUGCAGCAGAAACAUUAACAACAACAGAGACUUCCACAAUCAUGACUCCAGAUAAAACAUCCACCACUAAUGCAAUAGAAAC